ACGGGGUGCAGCAGGCGCGAAAACUUCGCAAUGCGGGAAACCGUGACGAGGGAACUCCAAGUGUCUAUGCAAUGCAUAGACUGUUUUUCAGCCUAAAUAGCUGUUAGAGUAAGGGGUGGGUAAGACCGGUGCCAGCCGCCGCGGUAACACCGGCACCCCAAGUGGUAGCCACUAUUAUUGGGCCUAAAGCGUUCGUAGCCGGUUUAGUAAAUUCUUGGGUAAAUCGUACAGCUUAACUGUGCGGAUUCCGGGGACACUACUAGACUUGAGACCGGGAGAGAUUAGAGGUACUUGCAGGGGAGCGGUGAAAUGUUGUAAUCCUGCAGGGACCACCAGUGGCGAAGGCGUCUAAUCAUAACGGCUCUGACGGUGAGGAACGAAACCCUGGGGCGCAAACGGGAUUAGAUACCCCGGUAGUCCAGGGCGUAAACGCUGCUGACUUGGUGUUGGAGAUCCUACGAGGGUGUCCAGUGCUGGCGCGAAGGUAUUAAGUCAGCCGCCUGGGGAGUACGGUCGCAAGACUGAAACUUAA
This 532-nucleotide ribosomal RNA is filed under the name uncultured archaeon. RNAcentral's name for it is "bacterial SSU rRNA". It matches the Rfam family "Archaeal small subunit ribosomal RNA", at positions 325 to 859 of the family's 1478-position model. The record is from RNAcentral.